Molecule: ribosomal RNA, 253 nt
Filed under: uncultured bacterium
Lineage: Bacteria
Description: partial 16S ribosomal RNA
Rfam family: Bacterial small subunit ribosomal RNA
Source: RNAcentral
UACGAAGGGGGCUAGCGUUGUUCGGAAUCACUGGGCGUAAAGCGCACGUAGGCGGAUCUUUAAGUCAGGGGUGAAAUCCCAAGGCUCAACCUUGGAACUGCCUUUGAUACUGGGGAUCUCGAGUCCGGGAGAGGUGAGUGGAACUGCGAGUGUAGAGGUGAAAUUCGUAGAUAUUCGCAAGAACACCAGUGGCGAAGGCGGCUCACUGGCCCGGUACUGACGCUGAGGAGCGAAAGCGUGGGGAGCAAACAGG